Molecule: ribosomal RNA, 194 nt
Filed under: uncultured bacterium
Lineage: Bacteria
Description: partial 16S ribosomal RNA
Rfam family: Bacterial small subunit ribosomal RNA
Source: RNAcentral
AAUUCGCCUUCACGAAGUCGGAAUUGCUAGUAAUGGCAGGUCAGCAUACUGCCGUGAAUACGUUCCCGGGGCCUUGUACACACCGCCCGUCACACCAUGAGAGUUAGGAAUACCCGAAGCCUGUGAGCCAACUUUUCAAGAGGCAGCAGUCGAAGGUAGAACUAAUGAUUGGGGUGAAGUCGUAACAAGGUAAC